CCUACGGGAGGCAGCAGUGAGGAAUUUUCUGCAAUGGGCGAAAGCCUGACAGAGCAAUACCGCGUGAGGGAUGAAGACUUACUGAGUUGUAAACCUCGGUGCCUUAAGGAAGAAGAUCUGACGGUACUUAAGGUGGAAAGCAUCGGCUAACUCCGUGCCAGCAGCCGCGGUAAGACGGGGGAUGCAAGUGUUAUCCGGAAUUACUGGGCGUAAAGCGUCUGCAGGUGGUUUUAUAAGUCUGCUGUUAAAUCUUGAGGCUCAACCUCAAAUCUGCAGUGGAAACUAUAAGACUUGAGUAUAGUAGGGGUAGAGGGAAUUUCCAGUGGAGCGGUGAAAUGCGUAGAUAUUGGAAAGAACACCGAUGGCGAAGGCACUCUACUGGGCUAUUACUGACACUCAGAGACGAAAGCUAGGGGAGCAAAUGGGAUUAGAUACCCCAGUAGUCCUAGCCGUAAACGAUGGAUACUCGAUGUUGGACGUAUCGACCCGUUCAGUAUCUUAGCUAACGCGUUAAGUAUCCCGCCUGGGGAGUACGCUCGCAAGAGUUGAAACUCAAAUGAAUUGACGGCGNGAGAGNGCGACGACGACGACGAGGGAGAGG
This 601-nucleotide ribosomal RNA is filed under the name uncultured bacterium. RNAcentral's name for it is "bacterial SSU rRNA". It matches the Rfam family "Bacterial small subunit ribosomal RNA", at positions 338 to 956 of the family's 1533-position model. The record is from RNAcentral.